This 1482-nucleotide ribosomal RNA is filed under the name Meiothermus taiwanensis. RNAcentral describes it as "bacterial SSU rRNA". It matches the Rfam family "Bacterial small subunit ribosomal RNA". Lineage: Bacteria; Thermotogati; Deinococcota; Deinococci; Thermales; Thermaceae. The record is from RNAcentral.
AGAGUUUGAUCCUGGCUCAGGGUGAACGCUGGCGGUAUGCCUAAGACAUGCAAGUCGAACGGGCUGUUUAUGCAGCCAGUGGCGGACGGGUGAGUAACACGUAGGUGACCUACCCCAAAGUCUGGGACAACUAGGAGAAAUCUUAGCUAAUCCUGGAUGUGGACAUCUACUUUGGUGGAUGUUUAAAGCUUCGGCGCUUUGGGAUGGGCCUGCGGCGCAUCAGGUAGUUGGUGGGGUAAUGGCCUACCAAGCCGACGACGCGUAGCUGGUCUGAGAGGACGAUCAGCCACAGGGGUACUGAGACACGGACCCCACUCCUACGGGAGGCAGCAGUUAGGAAUCUUCCGCAAUGGGCGAAAGCCUGACGGAGCGAUACCGCUUGAAGGACGAAGCCCUUCGGGGUGUAAACUUCUGAACUCGGGACGAUAAUGACGGUACCGAGGUAAUAGCACCGGCUAACUCCGUGCCAGCAGCCGCGGUAAUACGGAGGGGUGCGAGCGUUACCCGGAUUUACUGGGGUGUAAAGGGCGUGUAGGCGGUCUCUCAAGUUCGAUGGUAAAGACCGAAGCUCACCUCGGGGGUGCGUGGGAUACUGUGAGGCUAAACGGUCCGAGAGGGUAGCGGAAAUUUCCGGAGUAGCGGUGAAAUGCGGAGAUACCGGAAGGAACGCCGAUAGCGAAAGCAGCUACCUGCACGAUUUGUUACGCUGAGGCGCGAAAGCGUGGGGAGCAAACCGGAUUAGAUACCCGGGUAGUCCACGCCCUAAACGAUGAGUGCUGGGUGUCCGACAUCUGUUGGGUGCCGUAGCUAACGCGUUAAGCACUCCACCUGGGAAGUACGGUCGCAAGACUGAAACUCAAAGGAAUUGACGGGGGCACGCACAAGCGGUGGAGCAUGUGGUUUAAUUCGAAGCAACGCGCAGAACCUUACCAGGUCUUGACAUCCUGGGAACCCUGGUGAAACCCGGGGGUGCCGCAAGGGAGCCCAGAGACAGGUGCUGCAUGGUCGUCGUCAGCUCGUGUCGUGAGAUGUUGGGUUAAGUCCCGCAACGAGCGCAACCCCUGUUGCUAGUUGCCAGCAGUUCGGCUGGGCACUCUAGCGAGACUGCCUACGAAAGUAGGAGGAAGGCGGGGAUGACGUCUGAUCCGCAUGGCCCUUACGACCUGGGCGACACACGUGCUACACUGCCUGCCACAAAGCGCUGCGACCCGGUAACGGGAAGCCAAUGGCACAAAAGCAGGCUCAGUUCGGAUUGGGGUCUGCAACUCGACCCCAUGAAGCCGGAAUCGCUAGUAUUCGCGGAUCAGCCAUGCCGCGGUGAAUACGUUCCCGGGCCUUGUACACACCGCCCGUCAAGCCAUGGGAGUGGGUUUUGCCUGAAGUCGCCGGGAGCCACAGGCAGGCGCCUAGGGUAAGGCUCAUGACUGGGGCUAAGUCGUAACAAGGUAGCUGUACCGGAAGGUGCGGCUGGAUCACCUCCUU